UCGGGGGUGGUGUAAUCGGUAGCACGGCAGCCUUUGGAGCUGUCCAGUUCAGGUUCGAGUCCUGACCCCCGAG
This 73-nucleotide transfer RNA is filed under the name Acidimicrobiia bacterium. Its description in RNAcentral is "tRNA-Gln". It matches the Rfam family "tRNA". Rfam says of the family: Transfer RNA (tRNA) molecules are approximately 80 nucleotides in length. Their secondary structure includes four short double-helical elements and three loops (D, anti-codon, and T loops). Further hydrogen bonds mediate the characteristic L-shaped molecular structure. tRNAs have two regions of fundamental functional importance: the anti-codon, which is responsible for specific mRNA codon recognition, and the 3' end, to which the tRNAs corresponding amino acid is attached (by aminoacyl-tRNA synthetases). tRNAs cope with the degeneracy of the genetic code in two manners: having more than one tRNA (with a specific anti-codon) for a particular amino acid; and 'wobble' base-pairing, i.e. permitting non-standard base-pairing at the 3rd anti-codon position. Lineage: Bacteria; Bacillati; Actinomycetota; Acidimicrobiia. The record is from RNAcentral.